Pelobates cultripes (western spadefoot toad) is the source of this 213-nucleotide non-coding RNA. NCBI's taxonomy places the organism in Eukaryota, Metazoa, Chordata, Amphibia, Anura, Pelobatidae. The record is from the annotation of a GenBank genome assembly.
AGAACAGGAGGUACUUGACUGUGACCCCUAUUCUAGCAAGAUGGAGAACAAUAUAUCAGUGCCACCAUCGCACCACGAUACAGGUUCUUCUUUUAUCUCUGUCACUACAACACCUCAUGCAAACAAGCACAGACUUCAUGGGUAAUAAGGCAACUCUAUUGCCACCCCGCUGUGGAGGGAAAUCCAAUGAACCGUGAUUCUUGUGUGCGCUCC